Long non-coding RNA from Glycine soja, 775 nucleotides. RefSeq lists it as uncharacterized. The transcript is spliced from 2 exons. The record is from RefSeq and is a predicted model, not a curated record. Lineage: Eukaryota; Viridiplantae; Streptophyta; Magnoliopsida; Fabales; Fabaceae.
CAGAAAAAAAAAAAACAAAACGCGUCCUCCCACCUUCCUUUUGCGAACCCUAAUUCUUGAAGCUGGCCUCCACUCAGCCUCCCUCUCACUCUCACGCUCUCAUACUCUCUCUUCUCUUUCACCGCUGAGAUUGAACUACACUAACAAAUCAUAGUUAGUCAGGGACACACAGAAACACUGUUUCUUCCACCAUGAGUUUCGCGGCGUACAAGAUGAUGCAGUGCCCCACCGACAUCGACAAUUGUGCCACCGGGUUCCUCACCCACUCUCGCUCUCACUUCGUCCUUCUCCAGCCCGACGACAUCGACGCCGAGUGGCCCUCCCGCCCUCGCCACCACGUCGGCUCCCUCCCCAACCUCGUCGUCACCGUCCUCGAAGUCUAUGUCGUCCGCCUCUAGGGGGACCAACCGCCCAAGGCCGCCGCCGACUCCCGCCGUGGUGCCCUCCUCGACGGCAUCGCCGGGGCCUCCCUCGAACUCGUGUGCCACUACAGCCAUCAUCUUUGCCUUGUCAGCCUGCAUUGACCAUUUUUGCAUCAAAGUGUAAUACUUGAAAUGGCUUCAAGCCAUGCUCAAUUAGAUUUUUCAGGCGUUUUGUCAGGUUUUCAAUGUAGUGCAGCCACCUAGUGAACUAGCCUUCUUUAUAGUCUUUUGCUUUUAUACACGUGACUCCUUUGUUUUGUAGUAACUUGCACUAUUUCCCCUUUUUUGGGGUCAUUUAUGAUACUUUCCUAGUUCUCUUUCUUUUAAAAUCACAUCACUGUUUGUUUUUAUAA